Molecule: ribosomal RNA, 492 nt
Filed under: uncultured bacterium
Lineage: Bacteria
Description: partial 16S ribosomal RNA
Rfam family: Bacterial small subunit ribosomal RNA
Source: RNAcentral
AGUGAACGCUGGCGGUAGGCCUAACACAUGCAAGUCGAACGGCAGCACAGUAAGAGCUUGCUCUUACGGGUGCCGAGUGGCGGAUGGGUGAGGGAUACAUCGGAAUCUACUUUUUCGAGGGGGAUAACGUAGGGAAAAUUACGCUAGUACCGCAUAGGACGUACGGGUGAAAGCAGCGGAUCUUCGGACCUUGCGCGAUUGAAUGAGCCGAGGUCGGAUUAGCUAGUUGGCGGGGUAAAGGCCCACCAAGGCGACGAUCCGUAGCUGGUCUGAGAGGAUGAUCAGUCACACUGGAACUGAGACACGGUCCAGACUCCUACGGGAGGCAGCAGUGGGGAAUAUUGGACAAUGGGCGCAAGCCUGAUCCAGCCAUGCCGCGUGUGUGAAGAAGGUCUUCGGAUUGUAAAGCCCUUUUAGUUGGGAGGAAGGGCAGUAAGUUAAUACCUCGCUGUUUUGACGGUACCAAAAGAAUAAGCACCGGCUAACUUCGUG